This is a long non-coding RNA of Nomascus leucogenys (northern white-cheeked gibbon), 328 nucleotides long. RefSeq lists it as uncharacterized. The transcript has 3 exons. NCBI's taxonomy places the organism in Eukaryota, Metazoa, Chordata, Mammalia, Primates, Hylobatidae. The record is from RefSeq and is a predicted model, not a curated record.
UUGAAGUAGAACAAACAGAAGAAAGUGUGAGAGAGAAGGCUGGACAGUCAAGCAAAGGGCAGAUCAAAAUGGAAGUUAUGAGCCUGAAAUUCAUUCUGAGGCGUAGAAAGCCUCUCUGAAAAUGUAUUACUAACACGAAUGAUAUGGUAAAGUUAGCAUUUUGGAAGUGUCAUUCUGGCUGCCAAGAGAUGUAAUUAAGAGCUAAGAGAUUAAAGGUGAGCCAGACUGGCAGCUACAGAGCUGUUAAAAGGAUCUAGGUAUCGGCCAGGCGCAGUGGCUCACCCCUGUAACCCCAGCACUUUGGGAGGCCGAGGUGGGUGGAUCAUCU